GACGAACCGUGCGAACGUUGUUCGGAAUCACUGGGCAUAAAGGGCGCGUAGGCGGCUCGCGAGGUCGGGGGUGAAAUCCCACAGCUUAACUGUGGAAGUGCCUUCGAUACCGGCGGGCUGGAGGAAGGUAGGGGUGCGCGGAACUUCUGGUGGAGCGGUGAAAUGCGUUGAUAUCAGAAGGAACGCCGGCGGCGAAAGCGGCGCACUGGACCUUUUCUGACGCUGAGGCGCGAAAGCCAGGGGAGCAAACGGG
Molecule: ribosomal RNA, 253 nt
Filed under: uncultured bacterium
Lineage: Bacteria
Description: partial 16S ribosomal RNA
Rfam family: Bacterial small subunit ribosomal RNA
Source: RNAcentral